RNAcentral lists this ribosomal RNA (598 nucleotides) under Haemophilus haemolyticus. RNAcentral describes it as "bacterial SSU rRNA". It matches the Rfam family "Bacterial small subunit ribosomal RNA", at positions 88 to 682 of the family's 1533-position model. The record is from RNAcentral. Lineage: Bacteria; Pseudomonadati; Pseudomonadota; Gammaproteobacteria; Pasteurellales; Pasteurellaceae.
CUGACGAGUGGCGGACGGGUGAGUAAUGCUUGGGAAUCUGGCUUAUGGAGGGGGAUAACGACGGGAAACUGUCGCUAAUACCGCGUAGUGUCGAGAGACGAAAGUGCGGGACCGCAAGGCCGCAUGCCAUGAGAUGAGCCCAAGUGGGAUUAGGUAGUUGGUGGGGUAAAGGCCUACCAAGCCUGCGAUCUCUAGCUGGUCUGAGAGGAUGACCAGCCACACUGGAACUGAGACACGGUCCAGACUCCUACGGGAGGCAGCAGUGGGGAAUAUUGCGCAAUGGGGGGAACCCUGACGCAGCCAUGCCGCGUGAAUGAAGAAGGCCUUCGGGUUGUAAAGUUCUUUCGGUAUUGAGGAAGGAGGAUAUGUUAAUAGCAUACAUUAUUGACGUUAAAUACAGAAGAAGCACCGGCUAACUCCGUGCCAGCAGCCGCGGUAAUACGGAGGGUGCGAGCGUUAAUCGGAAUAACUGGGCGUAAAGGGCACGCAGGCGGUUAUUUAAGUGAGGUGUGAAAGCCCCGGGCUUAACCUGGGAAUUGCAUUUCAGACUGGGUAACUAGAGUACUUUAGGGAGGGGUAGAAUUCCACGUGUAGCGGU